UUGAACGCUGGCGGCAGGCCUAACACAUGCAAGUCGAGCGGAUGAAGGGAGCUUGCUCCUGGAUUCAGCGGCGGACGGGUGAGUAAUGCCUAGGAUUCUGCCUGGUAGUGGGGGAUAACGUCCGGAAACGGGCGCUAAUACCGCAUACGUCCUGAGGGAGAAAGUGGGGGAUCUUCGGACCUCACGCUAUCAGAUGAGCCUAGGUCGGAUUAGCUAGUUGGUGGGGUAAAGGCCUACCAAGGCGACGAUCCGUAACUGGUCUGAGAGGAUGAUCAGUCACACUGGAACUGAGACACGGUCCAGACUCCUACGGGAGGCAGCAGUGGGGAAUAUUGGACAAUGGGCGAAAGCCUGAUCCAGCCAUGCCGCGUGUGUGAAGAAGGUCUUCGGAUUGUAAAGCACUUUAAGUUGGGAGGAAGGGCAGUAAGUUAAUACCUUGCUGUUUUGACGUUACCAACAGAAUAAGCACCGGCUAACUUCGUG
This 483-nucleotide ribosomal RNA is filed under the name uncultured bacterium. RNAcentral describes it as "partial 16S ribosomal RNA". It matches the Rfam family "Bacterial small subunit ribosomal RNA", at positions 30 to 507 of the family's 1533-position model. The record is from RNAcentral.